UACGUAGGGUGCAAGCGUUAUCCGGAAUUAUUGGGCGUAAAGAGCUCGUAGGCGGUUUGUCGCGUCUGCUGUGAAAACUGGAGGCUCAACCUCCAGCCUGCAGUGGGUACGGGCAGACUAGAGUGCGGUAGGGGAGAUUGGAAUUCCUGGUGUAGCGGUGGAAUGCGCAGAGUAUCAGGAGGAACACCGAUGGCGAAGGCAGAUCUCUGGGCCGUAACUGACGCUGAGGAGCGGAAAGCAUGGGGAGCGAACAGG
RNAcentral lists this ribosomal RNA (255 nucleotides) under uncultured bacterium. Its description in RNAcentral is "partial 16S ribosomal RNA". It matches the Rfam family "Bacterial small subunit ribosomal RNA", at positions 524 to 776 of the family's 1533-position model. The record is from RNAcentral.